UGAGAGGUGCAAUAGCUGCUGGGCUCU
This 27-nucleotide non-coding RNA is filed under the name Rattus norvegicus (Norway rat). The record is from RNAcentral. Lineage: Eukaryota; Metazoa; Chordata; Mammalia; Rodentia; Muridae.